This is a long non-coding RNA of Selaginella moellendorffii, 225 nucleotides long. RefSeq lists it as uncharacterized. The record is from RefSeq and is a predicted model, not a curated record. Lineage: Eukaryota; Viridiplantae; Streptophyta; Lycopodiopsida; Selaginellales; Selaginellaceae. The transcript has 3 exons.
GGGACUUGUCGCUGAAUCAAAACUUGAGGGGUCCAAUCCCCUCUUCUGUUGGAUUUCUCGUCAAUCUCGUCAGACUGAGUCUGCAAAACUGUGGCUUCAACGGGAGUAUUCCUAGAGAAAUUGGCAGUCUUUCGGCCCUCUCGUUCCUAGCUUUGAACGGAAACUUUCUGAGCGGAAGGAUUCCCCCAACUAUUGGCCUGCUCCAGUCUCUCGAUUGGUGCGAUC